RNAcentral lists this ribosomal RNA (469 nucleotides) under uncultured Anaerolineaceae bacterium. RNAcentral's name for it is "bacterial SSU rRNA". It matches the Rfam family "Bacterial small subunit ribosomal RNA", at positions 897 to 1382 of the family's 1533-position model. The record is from RNAcentral. Lineage: Bacteria; Bacillati; Chloroflexota; Anaerolineae; Anaerolineales; Anaerolineaceae.
AAACUCAAAGGAAUUGACGGGACCCGCACAAGCAGCGGAGCGUGUGGUUUAAUUCGUUGCUACACGAGAACCUUACCUGGGUUUGACAGUAUAGGUUGUAGGGAACUGAAAAGGACCGACCUUCGGGGAGCCUAUACAGGUGUUGCAUGGCUGUCGUCAGCUCGUGUCGUGAGAUGUUCGGUUAAGUCCGCUAACGAGCGCAACCCUCGUCGUAUGUUACAAGUGUCAUACGAGACUGCCGGUAAAAAGCCGGAGGAAGGUGAGGAUGAUGUCAAGUCAGCAUGACCUUUAUAUCCAGGGCUACACACACGCUACAAUGGUCUGUACAAUGGGUAGCCAAGCCGCGAGGCGGAGCCAAUCCUGAAAGCAGGCCUCAGUUCAGAUUGCAGUCUGCAACUCGACUGCAUGAAGCCGGAGUUGCUAGUAACCGCAGGUCAGCAAUACUGCGGUGAAUACGUUCCCGGGUCUU